This 429-nucleotide ribosomal RNA is filed under the name bacterium. Its description in RNAcentral is "partial 16S ribosomal RNA". It matches the Rfam family "Bacterial small subunit ribosomal RNA", at positions 355 to 776 of the family's 1533-position model. The record is from RNAcentral.
UAGGGAAUCUUCCACAAUGGACGCAAGUCUGAUGGAGCAACGCCGCGUGAGUGAAGAAGGUUUUCGGAUCGUAAAGCUCUGUUGUUGGUGAAGAAGGAUAGAGGUAGUAACUGGCCUUUAUUUGACGGUAAUCAACCAGAAAGUCACGGCUAACUACGUGCCAGCAGCCGCGGUAAUACGUAGGUGGCAAGCGUUGUCCGGAUUUAUUGGGCGUAAAGCGAGCGCAGGCGGAAGAAUAAGUCUGAUGUGAAAGCCCUCGGCUUAACCGAGGAACUGCAUCGGAAACUGUUUUUCUUGAGUGCAGAAGAGGAAAGUGGAAUUCCAUGUGUAGCGGUGGAAUGCGUAGAUAUAUGGAAGAACGCCAGUGGCGAAGGCGACUCUCUGGUCUGCAACUGACGCUGAGGCUCGAAAGCAUGGGUAGCGAACAGG